GAUUACAAGCGUGAGCCACCAUGCCUGGGCCCUUCAUCUCUCUAAACUCAUUUCACCUGUAAAACUGGGCUAAUGGCACCACAUGCCUUAUUCAACGUGAGGUGGACUGUGACAGUCACGUGGGAGAAGGAGCGGGAGAGGUCUGGCAGCUGUGGCGUCUCCCAGAACCAACAUCCCGGGUAACCGGGUGGCUGAAGGACAGGUGACGUGUCCCUACCUCCCCCCCUUCCCUGCCCGAGGCUCCGGCAUCCACCGUCUUGCCUUCCUGCUCUUCAAGCAGGACCAGCUGAUUGACUUCUCCGAGGACGCACGCCCCUCACCCUGCUAUCAGCUGGCCCAGCGGACCUUCCGCACUUUUGAUUUCUACAAGAAACACCAAGAAGCCAUGACUCCAGCCGGCUUGUCCUUCUUCCAGUGCCGCUGGGAUGACUCCGUCACCUACAUCUUCCACCAGCUUCUAGACAUGCGGGAGCCGGUGUUUGAGUUCGUGCGGCCGC
RNAcentral lists this small RNA (497 nucleotides) under Pan troglodytes (chimpanzee). RNAcentral describes it as "processed transcript". Lineage: Eukaryota; Metazoa; Chordata; Mammalia; Primates; Hominidae. The record is from RNAcentral.